This 468-nucleotide ribosomal RNA is filed under the name uncultured bacterium. RNAcentral's name for it is "partial 16S ribosomal RNA". It matches the Rfam family "Bacterial small subunit ribosomal RNA", at positions 29 to 507 of the family's 1533-position model. The record is from RNAcentral.
ACGAACGCUGGCGGCGUGCUUAACCCAUGCCAGUCGCACGAUGAAGCACCAGCUUGCUGGUGUGGAUUAGUGGCGAACGGGUGAGUAACACGUGAGUAACCUGCCCCUCACUCUGGGAUAAGCCUGGGAAACUGGGUCUAAUACUGGAUACGACCGAUCUCCGCAUGGAGUGUUGGUGGAAAGUUUUUGUGGUGGGGGAUGGACUCGCGGCCUAUCAGCUUGUUGGUGGGGUAAUGGCCUACCAAGGCGACGACGGGUAGCCGGCCUGAGAGGGCGACCGGCCACACUGGGACUGAGACACGGCCCAGACUCCUACGGGAGGCAGCAGUGGGGAAUAUUGCACAAUGGGCGAAAGCCUGAUGCAGCGACGCCGCGUGAGGGAUGACGGCCUUCGGGUUGUAAACCUCUUUCACCAGGGACGAAGCUAACGUGACGGUACCUGGAGAAGAAGCACCGGCUAACUACGUG